CAGGUUUUGACUACUACAAACAGUAGUGCCGCGGACAUUCUUGUUCUUAUCUCCUGGUGCAUAGCAGCAAGAAUUCCUCUAGGAUACAUUCUUUGGAACGGAACUGCCAGAUCGGGGCUCAGACCUUCACCUUUUGCAUCUGACCUUCCAUCAGGAGACCCUUGAAGACUUCUCCUGCAUUGCCCUAUCACCUGAAACCCAGCUCAUUGAUCGUCAUCAUUCAUUAAUUCCACAACAUUGACAGAGCCCUUGGUCUGUACUAGAGGCUUAAGGCCCUGUCCUCAUGGAGCACUCAGAACGUUCUCUCUAGUCUCUUCCUGAUUCUUUCUAGGCAGGUUUACUACCUUUUACUUGCUCAGUUCAUUUCUGUGUUCUCAAGCUGGCUUUCCCUCUGGGAAUAUUCCUCCAUGGAAGAUUGCCAGAAAGCUUCCAAUGAUCUCUUCUUGCUCUUGAGAUUUCUUCUUCCCUACAGAGUGGCACGUGUCUCUUUCUGUCUGAAUCUGAACUCUUCUGACUUUUCUAUAUUUUUUCCUAUUGUGUAAUCUAUCACUCUAGCCAUCUAAUCUUUUUCUUUUUUUUAGAUAGAGGUGGGGUCUCACUCUGUUGCCCAGGCUAGUCUAGAACUCCUAGGCUCAAGUGAUCCUCCUGCCUUAACCUCCCAAAGUGCUGGGAUUACAGGCGUGAGGCACCGUGCCCAGUCUUGAUCUAUUUUUUUAUCGGACAUUUUUUGAAUGCCCAUAUACUAGCAAAUUUCAAGGUGUGGAGGAGCUUCUCCUUGCCAUUUAAAAGUUUUCAUUUAUUUGACAUAAUCAUUUUAUAAAAUUAUGUAUUUGCACAACUUAUGUCCA
RNAcentral lists this long non-coding RNA (848 nucleotides) under Homo sapiens (human). RNAcentral's name for it is "HSALNT0043035". Lineage: Eukaryota; Metazoa; Chordata; Mammalia; Primates; Hominidae. The record is from RNAcentral.